RNAcentral lists this ribosomal RNA (254 nucleotides) under uncultured bacterium. Its description in RNAcentral is "partial 16S ribosomal RNA". It matches the Rfam family "Bacterial small subunit ribosomal RNA", at positions 524 to 776 of the family's 1533-position model. The record is from RNAcentral.
UACGUAGGGUGCAAGCGUUGCCCGGAUUUAUUGGGCGUAAAGGGCGCGUAGGCGGCCACCGCAAGUCAGUUGUGAAAUCUCUGGGCUUAACCCAGAAAGGUCAACUGAUACUGCGGGGCUAGAGUGCAGAAGGGGCAACUGGAAUUCUCGGUGUAGCGGUGAAAUGCGUAGAUAUCGAGAGGAACACCUGCGGCGAAGGCGGGUUGCUGGGCUGACACUGACGCUGAGGCGCGAAAGCUAGGGGAGCGAACGGG